UAGGGAAUCUUCCACAAUGGACGAAAGUCUGAUGGAGCAAUGCCGCGUGAGUGAAGAAGGUUUUCGGAUCGUAAAACUCUGUUGUGAGGGAAGAACAAGUACGAGAGUAACUGCUCGUACCUUGACGGUACCUCAUUAGAAAGCCACGGCUAACUACGUG
RNAcentral lists this ribosomal RNA (160 nucleotides) under Sporosarcina sp. 1944_NPK(10). RNAcentral describes it as "partial 16S ribosomal RNA". It matches the Rfam family "Bacterial small subunit ribosomal RNA", at positions 355 to 507 of the family's 1533-position model. The record is from RNAcentral. Lineage: Bacteria; Bacillati; Bacillota; Bacilli; Caryophanales; Caryophanaceae.